CUACUGUAUUUUUCUUUCUUUUUAUUUUUUUCAAUUCCAGGCACAUGAUGCUCGAGGAGGGCCUACUAUAAUAGCAAACAUCGAAUGGGGAGGGGAAGACCAAAAAAAUUGUUCAUGAACUAAUGAACAGUUGAGUGUGGAAAUGAACUGCAGUAUUUUCAUACAAUAGAAUACUUCCUGGCAGUGAAAAUGAUCUACAGAUAGACAAAGCGACAUGACGCUCAGAAACUUAAUAUGCAAGAAAAAGCAAGUCACAGGGUAAUAUAUGGAGUUUCGCUCUUGUUGCCCCGGCUGGAGUGCAAUGGCGUGAUCUUGGCUCACCUCAACCUUCCUCUCCCUGGUUCAAGCGAUUCUCCUGCCUCAGCCUCCCGAGUAGCUAGGAUUACAGUGGAUUCCAAAGCAUGAGUUGGGCUGCUUUUGAAUAGUGGGAGACGGGAGUUUACUCCGAUCACAGAAACCAUACCAACUGAAAGACAAAUCAGCAUCUUGCUGGACAACCCCUCACAGGGCUCC
Molecule: long non-coding RNA, 513 nt
Organism: Pongo pygmaeus (Bornean orangutan)
Lineage: Eukaryota; Metazoa; Chordata; Mammalia; Primates; Hominidae
Exons: 3
Source: RefSeq, a predicted model, not a curated record